GUAGGUGACGUACCCCCAGGGCGAGGAUAGUCACGGGAAACUGUGGGUAAUACUCGAUAAUCUUCCUGUUCUUGAUAAAUGGGAAGCAAUGGGUGUGAUUCCACCUGGGGAGCGGCUUACGCAGUAUCAGCUAGUUGGUGAGGUAACGGCUCACCAAGGCUUUGACGCUUAGGGGGUGUGAGAGCAUGGCCCCCACCACUGGCACUGAGACACUGGCCAGACACCUACGGGUGGCUGCAGUCGAGAAUCUUCGGCAAUGGACGAAAGUCUGACCGAGCGACGCCGCGUGCGGGAUGAAGGUCUUCGGAUUGUAAACCGCUGUCAGAGGGGAUGAAGUAUACGAGAGCUAUCUUUUGUAUUUGACAGAGCCUCAGAGGAAGCACGGGCUAAGUUCGUGCCAGCAGCCGCGGUAAUACGAACUGUGCGAACGUUAUUCGGAAUCACUGGGCUUAAAGGGUGCGUAGGCGGUCAUCUAAGUCACGUGUGAAAUCUUCUGGCUCAACCAGAAAACUGCGCGUGAAACUAGUUGACUU
Molecule: ribosomal RNA, 533 nt
Filed under: uncultured Planctomycetota bacterium
Lineage: Bacteria; Pseudomonadati; Planctomycetota
Description: bacterial SSU rRNA
Rfam family: Bacterial small subunit ribosomal RNA
Source: RNAcentral